CCCUUAGACGUUCUGGGCCGCACGCGCGCUACACUGACGAAGGCAACGAGCUUUCCCUUACCGAAAGGUACGGGUAAUCUUUUGAAACUUCGUCGUGCUGGGGAUAGAUCCUUGCAAUUUUUGAUCUUAAACGAGGAAUGCCUAGUAAGCGCAAGUCAUCAACUUGCGUUGAUUACGUCCCUGCCCUUUGUACACACCGCCCGUCGCUACUACCGAUUGAAUGGUUUAGUGAGGCCUUCGGAUCCGCGACUCGUUUGUGGAGAAGUUGGACAAACUCAGUCAUUUAGAGGAAGUAAAAGUCGUAACA
RNAcentral lists this ribosomal RNA (307 nucleotides) under uncultured eukaryote. Its description in RNAcentral is "partial 18S ribosomal RNA". It matches the Rfam family "Eukaryotic small subunit ribosomal RNA", at positions 1470 to 1796 of the family's 1831-position model. The record is from RNAcentral.